RNAcentral lists this ribosomal RNA (626 nucleotides) under uncultured bacterium. RNAcentral describes it as "bacterial SSU rRNA". It matches the Rfam family "Bacterial small subunit ribosomal RNA", at positions 202 to 827 of the family's 1533-position model. The record is from RNAcentral.
CAAAGGGAUUACCGGUGGCGGAUGGGCAUGCGGCGCAUUAGCUAGUCGGCGGGGUAACGGCCCACCGAGGCGACGAUGCGUAGGGGUUCUGAGAGGAAGGUCCCCCACACUGGUACUGAGACACGGACCAGACUCCUACGGGAGGCAGCAGUGAGGAAUAUUGGUCAAUGGGCGCGAGCCUGAACCAGCCAAGUCGCGUGAGGGAUGACGGUCCUACGGAUUGUAAACCUCUUUUGCCGGGGAGCAAGCGUGCGUUCGUGAACGCGCGUCGAGAGUACCCGGAGAAAAAGCAUCGGCUAACUCCGUGCCAGCAGCCGCGGUAAUACGGAGGAUGCGAGCGUUAUCCGGAUUUAUUGGGUUUAAAGGGUGCGUAGGCGGGAUGCCAAGUCAGCGGUAAAAAUGCGGUGCUCAACGCCGUCGAGCCGUUGAAACUGGCGUUCUUGAGUGGGCGAGAAGUAUGCGGAAUGCGUGGUGUAGCGGUGAAAUGCAUAGAUAUCACGCAGAACUCCGAUUGCGAAGGCAGCAUACCGGCGCCCUACUGACGCUGAGGCACGAAAGCGUGGGUAUCGAACAGGAUUAGAUACCCUGGUAGUCCACGCAGUAAACGAUGAAUGCUAACUGUCCGG